GGAGCAAUUGUAAAGAAAAAUGGAGGGGAGCACUAAGAAGCAAGAAGCAAAGGUGGCAAAUGAGCCAACUGAUUCCACCCUCGAAAAACAGCCAGCCCCAACCCCCCCACAAGGGGAAUCGGAAGCCGAUAGUUCCGAGGAAGAAGUUCCCCAAGAGCUGAAAGUGUGGGGCUACGGAGGGGCCGAAGGGGGGGGCUGCUGGCUGCAGGAGGAGGCCUUGAGCAUUCCUGGAUCGGCGGAGGAGGAUGAGGAGAGUGAGGCUAUCCAAGCCAUGGCGCUCGGGGUGGAAUUACAGUGCAGGCUCCAGCUCCACCUGGAUCAGCUGGAGGCCAAGGCCAAAUCCAGGGCCAGGGCCAGGGCCAGGGCCAGGGCCAGGGCCGCGAUGGCUGCCAGACGGGGCAGCCCGGAACGCGCCCUGGGAGCUUCGGCAAGUCCGGCAGCCGCGGCCCGCCCUCAGCCCUUGGUGGUCCGGGGCAGUCGGGGGGAGCCCCACAUCCGAGCUCAAGAGACGGAGGCCUCCCUGGGGCAGGCCCCUGAGGAAGUCAAACCAGGUGUGAAGGGAGGCCGAGAUCCAUUCGGGGCUCCCGUUCGGAAAACGGGAAAGGGCCCCAGAGGAAAGGAAGCUGCUGCUAAAGCUCGGGAAGGUCCGCCGGCCUCUAAUCCUCCUAGUAUCUGCCAGAGAAGAGAGAACUACCCAAAUCUGGAGCUGAAAGGCUCGGUGAGUGACCCCAGGCGGGCCCUUCCCCACACCCUAAAACGAGCAGGUGACCUGCCCCCCAAUCCCGUCGCUGGUAUUGGGACUUGGGAGAACACGAUCCCUUUUCUGCUUCCCCCUCCCCACCCUAUUGCUCUCUGCCCUGUCUCCCUUGGCCCAUCCUUCUCAGACUUCAAGAAGUAUCUACUCCACAGGUCCCAGAAGGAGCCAUCACCCUGGGGCACACACGUGAGAGCCACGUUCUCAGGGACCCCAGUAGCCAGAAGCCGGGAGAGACCCCAAGUCCGCUCGGGGAGCAGCUGGAGAGGUGAGACCAGGGAGCCCUUCCGCCCGCCCACCACGUGCCUUCCUCAUCUGCUCUUUGCUUCAUCUCUCAAUGAAAAACCCAAGUUGCGCUUGGACAAGACCUCAGCCCGAAGCCCGGCCGAGCUCCCCGGGCCUCCAUUCCCCCUCUUUCAAAGAAGACGAUGACCGUUGGGAUCUUUCCAGCUCAGUGUCUGCUCCUCAUUCUCGGCCUCUUUCCGCCCCUCAGACCCUGCCGCGUGACCUUAGAAAGCCCCUUCCCCUCCCCCCUGUCCCCCUGCCUAACUGUCUCAUCUGUCUCUCUCGGACAUGCUCCGAACACAGGUUGCCCGUAUUUCCCAGCUAGCAUCGGGGUUCCUCUCCCCUCACCUCCAGCACGGAGCCCUAGUGUAUGGCAGGUGCCCCCCGCCAGGAAGGCCAAUGGGGGGGGGGGGGUUUGGCCCCUGCCCCCGGGUUCUCCUGCCCCUGGGUUCAGAUGUGUUUGUGUGCGCUCGCGUGACCCCAGGCAAGUCCCUUCUCUUGAAGCCUCAGUUUCCUCCUUUGCCCCCGGCGAAUGGAGGGGGCUGGGCAUCCACACCCUGGAAGCUCUUUUCCAGCCCUUGCCUCGCGUGUCUGUGCGCGAGUUCGGGCCCACGGCCGUCCCCCGCCGUCGUCAGCACGGCCACUUCUGCCGCCUCGGCCGCACCCCGCAGACUCUCGUGGUGUCCCAUACGUGCGGCCCCCUCCCCCACCCCCGGCACCCGGCCCACACUCCUCCAGAAGCAGAGGAGGCCUCUGUCUACCCCUCUCCACCUUGCGGCCCGUCUGAGCCAGAGACGUCUGCCGGUGGCAGGAAGGAAGAGUCCCAAGCUCCCGGUGAGCGGUCCCGGCCGAGGGAAGGGAGAGAGCGGGGGGACGGGUGACUGCAGAGAUCUCCCGGCCUCCCUGCCCGUGCCGGGGGGCUGCGGAGGGGCACCAGAAACACCUACUUCCUGUCGCCCCUCCUUCCAGGCAAGUCUCCCGCUCCAGGGCCUCCAGCAGAAGAAAAUACAAAGGAAGAGCCUCUAGCGGGAACUGAAGGCCUCGUUCCCACGAGUCCCCACGCAGGUAAGACUGUGACUUUUCCCUUCAUCUGGGUCAGGGAAAACGAGAGACCGAGGUGGAAAGGGCCUCGGAGAUUAGCCCCUCCCUCCCGUGGAGAAACUGAGGCACAGAGCCAAGGAUUGACUUGUUACAGGCCUUGCCUCUUAUUCAGAGCUACAAGCCCCGUUAGAAUCUAAGUACCCUAAAUCUCCAGCCCAAGUAACGAGCACGGAGACUCGGGCGGCAGGAACCUCUAGAUGCUAGUGCUACAGAUCCAGGGGCUGGCCCAGAAACAACAGCACCAAGCAGGGCAAACGUGCAUCCCGGGGAUCGCGAGCACACUAGGGAAGGUCCCGGCUUGGGGACGGGGGCCUCACUCAGCCUUGCUCACUCGCUCGGCCCCUUCCAACUUAGGGAGAGAGGAACCCUGGAGCUUCAGUCCACAGUUCCCUCCCCCACCCCCGCUUCUCGGGACGGGACGUCACAGCCUCCAACACAACCAACUCUCACUGAGCUUGGGAGGAUUAGGGACUCUGAGCACACCCUCCCCCCAAUUUCUGACAGCAGGGUAAUGGAGCCAAACUUCCAGCCAGAGAUUCACCCCACUGUACCCAAAGCCAGGAAAAAACACUGAGGGAGGAAGAAAGUCUUCUCUUCUCUGUGUGGGUGAUGAGGAAUAGCUCAGGUCAGGGAGGCCGGGGGCUUAGGGGGAGGCGCAGCGGGCUUCAGGAAAUCAGGGCGUGCUUAAGGAUCAGGAAGACACCCAGAAGCCUUCUUCGGCUUGGCUGGUACCACACCCUUGUCCCCCAGGCCUGGACACAGGGGGCUGGUCUGGAUGGAAAUAUUGUGAAAUAAGGCAGAAGGAGGAAGUAAGCCGGAGACAGAGAAGGAAGGAGACAGAGAGAGAAAGGAAAAUGAGAGAGAGAAAAGAAAGAAACAAAGAAAAAGACAGAGAAAGAAAAAGAAAGAAAAAAAAGAGAGAGAGAAAACAGGAGGGAGGGAGACAGAGAAAGGAAAAUGAGAGAGAAAACGGAAGGAGACAGAGGGAGAAAGGAAAAUGAGAAACAAAGAAAAUGAAAGUGUACGAGAGAAAACAGAAGGAGGAAGGGAAACAAAACAGGGAGAAAAGAAAAUGAGAGAGAGAGAAAACAGAAGGAGGGAGGGAGACGGAGAAAGGAAAAUGAGAGAAAAAGAAUGAGAGGAAGAGGGAGAACAGGCAGGUUUUUGGCCAGUGUGUGCAGUGAUUUCAGAGGCCAAGAAUGAGGCCUAUUUCCUUCCCUUUGUUUCUCGGAGUAGCCUUUUCCCAGGUCCCAAUGCAGAGGGGGAAUGAGGCUGGUCAAUACAAUAAUUGCUUGGAAAACAGGCAGGCACGGGGAGGCCCGUCCGGGACAGCUUCCUGGUAUUAUGGAGACUCGGGGUUGGAGGCUGCUGCUGCUUAGACUAAAGAGGGGAAAAGAGGCACAAAAGAGACACUUUCCUCAAGUUGCUGUAGGACCUGCAGGGCCGGCCUCAGUGGGCCCGGGGUGUGGACGCCACUCUAGUCUCUUCCUUCAGAUAAGCCGGGCUUCCCCAGAAGCCCGUGCUGAUUUUCUCCCGAUGGAGCCAGAAGCUAAAGUCUUCCUCCACGGCUGGUGCUGGGAAACAUUUGAGUAAAACACGGCCCGUCAGAGCCAGAAGGGAUCUGGGGGACCCUUGUCCUAUAGAGGAGAAGGACCGGGGGGCGGGAUAGAGCUCAGUCCCAGAGUGGGAAAAGGUGCCGCAGUUAGUGACAGGUCAGGAGAGCAAGCCUACUAACCACCCAGCUCCCCUCGUUUGGGUGCUGCAGCAAGCGCCAGGGGGGUACCCUGGGCCUCGGUCUCCAUGAAGAGAAGCCUCCAGAAGCGAAGCAGUCCCUGCCUCAGUGAGCUCAUGUGGUGCUGGAGGAGAUGGAAGAAGGAGUGAAAAAGCAAGAGACGCAGGGUGCCGGGCUGGGCCCUGCCACGGGGCCCAGUGGGGAAUGGCUUCCUGGAAAAGGGAGGCAGCCCCGGGGCUGCUCAGUGAAGAUGAUCCGUAAGGUGCACGGGAGUCGCUCGGGACCCUCUUCUCCCCCAGGCCCCACUUGAGCUGCUAGGUCAGAGCCUUACGUCUCCUGUUGGAACCACACCCCGCCAGACGCCCGGCCGGCCGUUGGGCCUUAGGAGUCUCUUGAGGGAGGGGCCCCUGCUCAGAGGCCCUGGUCCCCGGUUUUGGAAUCCUUAAGUCCAAGCAGUUCCCUGGGGUCUCCGGAGGACCUAGAGCCGGUGGGGUGCUGGAAGGUUGGGAUCUGCCACCCUUUAGGCUCCUCUCUCCGCCUUGUCACCGAGAUCUCGGUUACGUCCCCCCUACUUGCUGGGGCCGUCUCCCCAGUUACCCCGUCUCCCUUAAGCUCCCUCCCAUCCCUAAGUCUUGAACCUGGGGAGCCAGGCUGGGCCCCCAGGGAGGGGGGGGGGCGACCUCGGCCACGGUUUGUCUCUGUAGCUCCUCGGUGCCCGGCAUGGAAGAGAGAUUCAAAAAAGGUUUCUAUGGGCCUCCUUUUGGGCUGAGGGAUGGGGAAGGG
This 4655-nucleotide long non-coding RNA is filed under the name Sarcophilus harrisii (Tasmanian devil). Its description in RNAcentral is "lncRNA (ENSSHAG00000031185.1)". Lineage: Eukaryota; Metazoa; Chordata; Mammalia; Dasyuromorphia; Dasyuridae. The record is from RNAcentral.